AACGAACGCUGGCGGCAGGCCUAACACAUGCAAGUCGAACGCCGUAGCAAUACGGAGUGGCAGACGGGUGAGUAACGCGUGGGAACAUACCCCUCGGUUCGGAAUAACUUAGGGAAACUUGAGCUAAUACCGGAUACGUCCGAGGUUUUAACCGGCCUCGGAGAAAGAUUUAUCGCCGGAGGAUUGGCCCGCGUCUGAUUAGCUUGUUGGUGAGGUAAUGGCUCACCAAGGCGACGAUCAGUAGCUGGUCUGAGAGGAUGAUCAGCCACAUUGGGACUGAGACACGGCCCAAACUCCUACGGGAGGCAGCAGUGGGGAAUAUUGGACAAUGGGCGAAAGCCUGAUCCAGCCAUGCCGCGUGAGUGAUGAAGGCCUUAGGGUUGUAAAGCUCUUUUACCCGGGAAGAUAAUGACGGUACCGGGAGAAUAAGCCCCGGCUAAC
Molecule: ribosomal RNA, 441 nt
Filed under: uncultured bacterium
Lineage: Bacteria
Description: bacterial SSU rRNA
Rfam family: Bacterial small subunit ribosomal RNA
Source: RNAcentral